AACAGAGAAGUAAAAAUUUACAUUUAGUUUCGACCUAAACCCUUAAGGAUAAACCUUCAUGUUU
Molecule: transfer RNA, 64 nt
Filed under: Norvellina sp. EMHAU-15062816
Lineage: Eukaryota; Metazoa; Arthropoda; Insecta; Hemiptera; Cicadellidae
Description: tRNA-Arg
Source: RNAcentral